UUCAGCAUGAUGAUCGUAAUAAUAUAUUAAAAAAUCAUUGAGAUCAAAAGGAAUAGAUAUCAUUCAAACAUGAAGAUGUUAAAUAAUUAAAAACAGAAAAUGGAAAAAUAAAAUAAUAUAAAUAUAUAUAGAAAAAAAAAAAAAAUAAAGAAUGAAAGAA
Apis florea (little honeybee) is the source of this 160-nucleotide long non-coding RNA. NCBI's taxonomy places the organism in Eukaryota, Metazoa, Arthropoda, Insecta, Hymenoptera, Apidae. The record is from RefSeq and is a predicted model, not a curated record.